AUGACAAGAAUCACUGUCAUUAUUACAAAGGCAUGGCCAGGAGUAGGGUGACAGCUCACGGCCGUCCAUGGCUUAGAGAGGGCCCAGACAGAAUUUGCCACCAGCACACAUUUCUCUGUGGGGGUUUUUUGAAAGUGUGUGUGUGUGUGUGUGUGUGUGUGUGUGUACAGGUGUGUGUCAUCAUAUAACUCAUGCUGAUUAAGUGUUUAAUUGGCAUCAUACUUGGGACUUGAGUAAGAGUCACCCAGCACCAAACUGUGAAAUUUGGGGAUAGCACACUGUGGCUGGGUCUCGCUUUCGGGGGGCUCACCCUCAGGGGGGGGCAGCUGGUACACCACGAAGAGGGAGGAGUACAGGCAGCCCACGAAUGACAUCAGGCUUGAAAAGUACAUCACUCCCUGGGCCCCACCCACCAGUGAAGUCAGAGGUCCCAUCGCCACUGAGACCAGGAUCUGAGCCAGGAAAUACUGGCAGCUGAGCAGAGAGAUGUCCACCCCCAUCCCUCGCCUGGUCCCUUCCUCUGAUGAGCCACAGAACUGGGGAACAGAUGCAGGAACUUCUCAAUUAGUCAAUCAAUGCGGUCCAACACAAAUUAACACUGCAUUAAAGGAAUAGCUCAACCCCCAUGCUAAUUUUUCAGGUUUAUACCUUAAAUUUUGGUGUCUACUAGGAAAAGUUUAAUGCUUUAUUA
Long non-coding RNA from Acanthopagrus latus (yellowfin seabream), 691 nucleotides. RefSeq lists it as uncharacterized. NCBI's taxonomy places the organism in Eukaryota, Metazoa, Chordata, Actinopteri, Spariformes, Sparidae. The record is from RefSeq and is a predicted model, not a curated record. The transcript is spliced from 2 exons.